AGCGGGAGAAGAGGAGAACGGGCGAGAGGAGGGCAACACGGCGUGCUUGAAUGUGUACUUAGCGGCAAGGAACACACUCGCCUCGCAUGUUAGGAUAGAGAUUAUGUCGUCCAAGGAGUCUAUAGUUAGUUAAGGCUACCAUUCUUCGGUUGGGUAGACCUUUGAGCCCCACCGACGAAAGAGAUCGCGGCAACAACGCGUUUUCGUCGUCACGCGCACCAACAAUUAGAUAUUAAUUCUAUUCAGACCUCGCGCUGCCUAUAACCGGGACAGUCGCUACAAAAGACGCGGGCGGAUUAACCUCUUUCGGUGGUGUCUAUCUUCUUCUUCUUUUUUUUUUUUUCGGGAGUCUUAUUCCCGCCGAGGUUCAGCGGAACAAAGCGGAAUUUGUCCGCCGCCUCACAAUGGAGUCCGCAAACAUAUCGCCGGAUUAGAUAACUCGAUAUUUUCUUUGAGAGACUUUGCAUCGUCAGUGAAAAUUCUUACAGGUAUUAUUUUCAGGAUCACUCAUCUUAAAACGUUUGCGUAUGUAUAAAUGAUGUAUCAUAUUCCUCGCCUUUACGUCUACCUGACAUACCUCAAUUCUCCUGCAGAUUUCUUCCUCUCGUACGUUAUGGCAGAAAUUAAUAUUCCUAUUUGUAAAUGCCGUCAUUUAAUUAAAUCUGAUAUCGCGCGUUUAAGUUCCGACCCGUAAAAUCGUUUAAGUCUCAUCUUACCGCGGGCCAUAAAUAACAAUUCGCGAGGGGUUAUUACUAACGUGGCAAAAGCAACGGCGAAAAAUACGAUUAACCAGAUUCGUCAAUCUAGAUAAGAGGCUUUCAUUCGCAGCCCGAUUAAAAAAAUUUCGCCCGUGAUCUUCGAGAGCCGUAAUAUUUCAGCACACAGCUGCGAAGAUAAUAACCAGACCGAGCAUAUAUAAGGCGGUGCCUGUUCUGCGUCAACACGUCCACUAGAAACAUCAGCGGCUGUUUCGCUUUCCUUAUCUAUACGCGGCACAAACUUCCCCAGGCAUAAAUGGAGGAUGAUGCACCGCGGCGCGUAUAAAGGGAGGAAAAAAAAUAUCGCCGAAACCCUCGUAACACUCCUACGCCAGCCGCGGGAAACGCGACAAUCUCGCGGAGCAAUUUUUAUCCAUUUGAACCCCCUCGACACGAAGACAGACGAGGAUUCGAUGCGGCGCGAAGCGCCUCGAAAGGGAAGGUGGUGACUUCUCGCCGGCGGCAAUUUUUCCGAGGGGGGAAGAAAAAAAACGAGCGCCGGACACAUGGCUCACGUAUGAAGGACGACGGUGGCCGCGAAAAUGAUGCGUUUUAUGGUUUUAUAAUGCGAAUGGUUGACCAAAAAGGGGGGAUCCCGAGACUGUAACACAUGGCUGCUCGUGUGUCUGUCACUCUUUCCUGAUCGCGCACACGUAUAUGUGUACGGCAAGGGGAUGACCGCUCUUCGACUGUCCACUACGAAACUGGGUAAUGAGCCGUCACGUAGACCGGGUUUACUCCCCAAUAAAAUCUAUAUCAGGAUACAGGAGGGAGACGCUCUUUUUAUCUCAACACCGCCAUACAUCAUUCUCCAAGCGUCGUCAACGCACUACCACUCUUGCUUUUCAGCUAUAACUCCGCCGCGAAGUUUGAUUUAUUAUAGAUCCUUGACAUUUCGAAGUAUCGUUUACCGUGGAUGCGCUCCCACAUUUUUCGCUUGCUUAAGAAAACGAUACGAUCACGAGGCAUAAUACGUUAUAUCAAGAUGCAGGAUAAUAUAUAUUCGCAUGAUACAAAAUAAUAGAAUCGUCGUUAAUAUUCAAGUGUUAAACGAGUUUUUAAAAAAGUAUUUCUUGAUCGAAACGAAUCUUGACGUUUAAUAAUACUUUCAUAUUUAUUAUUAAGUAUAAUUUUUCAGUUCACUUGUCGGACUUUCAAACAUAAUAGUAGACUGAAGCUAGAAAUUUUGCGCAAUGAGUUCUACAGCCAAUUAAUCAGUUUCUAAAAUGCUUGUAGCAUAAUUAAUAAAUUCAAUAACCAAAUUAAUUUAAAAUAUUUCUAACUUUAAUUGGUCGGGCACUUUUUAUUUUUUGCGUUAUUCACAAAUUAGUUUAAUAUUCAACUUAUUAUUGUAAUUUUAUUUCAGAUUUUAUUACUAAUCGUCAGCAGUGUUGCAACGCGUGCUUUGUUUCACGCGACACGAGCAAUUUGCAGCGCUAUUUUUAGGUUUCACGGCAUCGCGACGUCUCUUUCCUUCAAAGAAAGGAAAAAAAGAACGAUAAGUCGUCUAAAGGAUCAUAAAACGACAAUGUUGCGUAAUUAGCAGUGCGCAUGGCGCUACUGGCGUACUAAACAUUCAACUAAAAUAAACAACCACGACUGGGCAGGGCUUGAUUUAUGAGGGAGGCCUGAUGUUCCCCUGGAUGUCAUCCAGGGGUUUAACGCUUUUCGUGAUCUUGGGCCGCGCGCUUUAGAGCAACCGUCCCGGGAACCCGAUCAAUAAUACAUCUCGUAAACGCACUCGGCGUCGGGAGUGAUGGCUUCUCCAGUUUCAGAUACGGCCAAACGGUGAGUAAUGCCAAACAAACGGGAAAAUAUACCUAUCUGGCAGCGACGGCGACGGCGGCGGCGACGACGACGUCAACGGCGGCCGCGGCCACGUCGUGGGAGACGCGCUAUAUUUACGCGGCGGUGGUUUCGUCUUUUUUAACGGGGCGCCCACGGUCGAACCGUUUAUAUUUAGCGCGCGUUCCCUUUCGGCCAAAGGCACCACCUUGUGACGUGUCAGAUGCGACAACUCGUGCUCGCCUCUUUAUCGAACGCGCGCGGGUGACCCCUCGUGUAGCACCGUGGCGCUAUUUCAGGACGCAUGGGAACGCCGUUUCGGCAGGUGCCUCCGGCUGAUUAAAAAUAAUCAGAGUCCUCUCGCCUCUUACGAGGAGCGCCUGCCAGCCUCUCGUGCCGCGCGCGGUAUGGAUACGCUCAUGUCGAGGGGACCGCGGAACAUAAACGAGGGACCCCCAAGCGACGAGAUGUUUGUUCGUUCCACAUAUUAAGGUGUUCGCGAGGCGUGUUUAACGCGCGGGGCAAUAUUUAUCGUCGAAGGUGAGGCUAAUUCUUCUUUUUCUUCCUUCGUGUACAUUUUUUUUGUAUUCUUCAGCGUUCCGGGAUAAAACUUCCCUGUAUAAUUAAACUUGGAGGAAUCGUUUAAAUUAAUCCUGACGGCGAACAUUGUAAAUUAAUUAAACACGCUACCAAUCACGGUAGAGCAUAGCUUCGCGUCUACUCGAGCCAACGAGUACCGGCUGAUGACCUGAAUGAGCGAAUCAUCGCUUUUGAUCGAAUCGUCCUUCCCGAUGCGGAACAAGCGGCGCGCAAAUCGGCAUGGAAGUGAACGCACGUAGUUUGAAAGCUCGUGGGUUUCAACAGGUGCUUUCGCGAAGCUGAAGUACGCAGCUGACUGCGGCGGGGAGACGAGGGUAGUGCGCGAAAGCGACGAAAACGCAUCCGUCGAGUCGAGGACUGGCAGCGAGGGUGGCCCCUUGCUCCCUAGGGGACAUCAUCAAGGAAAUUGGAUUCGGCAUUUUUCAAAUCCUACCCCAAAACACACGUAUAGAUGUUCGACCGGUCGCGCCGAAACCGUAUUUUCGCCCCUAGGAGGCUAGUGCUUGACAAUCAAAUUACGUUAUUUUUAUGCUGCUUAGGUUGAAAGUGGAGGCAAGAAAAAAAAA
This 3709-nucleotide long non-coding RNA is filed under the name Monomorium pharaonis (pharaoh ant). Its description in RNAcentral is "uncharacterized LOC114255313, transcript variant X2". Lineage: Eukaryota; Metazoa; Arthropoda; Insecta; Hymenoptera; Formicidae. The record is from RNAcentral.